Alosa sapidissima (American shad) is the source of this 1278-nucleotide long non-coding RNA. RefSeq lists it as uncharacterized. The transcript has 2 exons. The record is from RefSeq and is a predicted model, not a curated record. NCBI's taxonomy places the organism in Eukaryota, Metazoa, Chordata, Actinopteri, Clupeiformes, Clupeidae.
UCAGAAGCACUCCUAGGGGAAGAGAAGGGUCAGUCCUGGUCCUCUGAGAUUCUCAGUUCAGCAAAGCAUGUAUAUAACGGUCCCUCUGGGUGUGGUCUGUCCCCUGUAGGUGUAGGGAUGUGUGUGUGUGUGUGUGUGUGUGUGUGUGUGCUCUUUGGGUUUGUUGACACACUCAGUGUGCAUGUUUAUGGGAAUGUGUGUAUCUUUACAGUUUCCUGGUGCUUCAUUUUAUAAGUCCCUCAGUGACGUUUGGAAGGUGAACUUUCAGUCAGAUGAGCAUUUCCCAGCAUCCCCUCUUGCCAUCCUCACGAGUCCGUUUCACUGACGUUCCGUUGUACUCUGACCUCGUUCUGUUGCUCUCUUAAGAUGGCACCAAAGAACCAUUCAGGGUUCUUUACUGGGCCAUCUGCACCAGUAGAACGUAGAACAACAUCAAGUCAUGAAACAUGCAUGUCAUGCUGAGGUAUCGGCUGACUGGAACCAAUUCAUGUCGGUUCUGACACGUCUGGGUUGGAUGUGGGCCGGAGUCGGCCCAGAAUUGGGCUGAUGUCUGAGCGACGUCCGGCUCUCCUGUCCCACCUUCCCUCGCGUUUCACAGGUGUGCGUUUCCUAAUCUAGAUGAUGGCGCACCCUAGAAGAUGUUCCGAGGCUGAUCUGGCAGACCUGCGGUGUAGAUCUGGCCCGUGCCGGUACGCUCCAGGGUCUGUGUCUGGUCACGCGGCGUGAGCCCCGGAGCCGUGUUCCGUGUUCCCCCUUCCCUGCAGGCCUGGGGACGGACCGAGAGAAUGCAGAACAGAACGGGCCCAUGACCCGUUACACUGUCAGCCUCGGUCAGGUCCCCCAGGAACCUCAAACUCAUUAGGCUCAAAGGGGAGGGGGGGCACCUAUCAGGCAGGAUUUGUGUGUGUGUGUGUGUGUGUGUAGCAGUGUGUGUGUGUGUGUGUGUGUGUAGCAGUCGUUCUGCUCUGUGCCUCUGUGUGUGUGUGUGUGUGCGUGUGAAAUUUGUAUUUUACUUUCUCACUUGUGUUGAAGCAUUAAAAGCAUAAGGUUAGCUAUACUGCUAUAGCUGAAGCACAUGAGUAAUUUAUUAGUGCGCAUUUAUUAACAUGUAUUUUCAUUUGUCACUAGUGCUGCCAUUUUUAAUAUUAUCACUACCUGUAUUGUUAUAUCUAGAUGGAUGUUUUAUCACCUGUAAGACAUUAAGAUACUGUUGUUUUAUUGUUUUGUUUGUUUUUUUGCAAGCACCAAAGGAAAUAAAGUUGUUAUUGUUACACCGAU